GAUGAAGAACGCAGUGAAAUGCGAUAAGUAAUGUGAAUUGCAGAAUUCAGUGAAUCAUCGAAUCUUUGAACGCACAUUGCGCCCGCCAGUAUUCUGGCGGGCAUGCCUGUUCGAGCGUCAUUUCAACCAUCAAGCCCCCGGGCUUGUGUUGGGGACCUGCGGCUGCCGCAGACCCUGAAAAGCAGUGGCGGGCUCGCUGUCACACCGAGCGUAGUAGCAUACAUCUCGCUCUGGGCGUGCUGCGGGUUCCGGCCGUUAAACUACCCUUUUAACCCAAGGUUGACCUCGGAUCAGGUAGGAAGACCCGCUGAACUUAAGCAUAUCAAUAAGCGGAGGA
Molecule: unclassified non-coding RNA, 337 nt
Filed under: soil metagenome
Description: partial contains 5.8S ribosomal RNA, internal transcribed spacer 2, and large subunit ribosomal RNA
Rfam family: 5.8S ribosomal RNA (bases 1-120)
Source: RNAcentral